Molecule: RNA transcript, 3755 nt
Organism: Lynx canadensis (Canada lynx)
Lineage: Eukaryota; Metazoa; Chordata; Mammalia; Carnivora; Felidae
Gene: RRP1
Gene name: ribosomal RNA processing 1
Exons: 14
Source: RefSeq, a predicted model, not a curated record
CGCGCGCGCCCCGGCGAAGCGAAGUGGUCGUCGGCGCCCGACGGUCGGGGGCGUUCGCCAUGGGCCCGCGCGUGCCGCUCCCCCCGGAGAUCCAGCUGGCCCAGCGCCUGGCCGGGAACGAGCAGGUGACCCGGGACCGGGCGGUGAAGAGGCUCCGGAAAUACAUCGUCGCCAGGACUCAGCGGGCCGCAGGUGGUUUCACUCAUGACGAGCUGCUGAAGGUUUGGAAAGGACUGUUUUACUGCAUGUGGAUGCAGGACAAGGCCCUCCUCCAGGAGGAACUAGGGAGGACCAUUUCCCAGCUCAUCCAUGCUUUUCAGACCACAGAGGCACAGCACCUGUUCCUUCAAACAUUCUGGCAAACCAUGAACCGCGAGUGGACGGGCAUUGACAGACUGCGCCUGGAUAAGUUCUACAUGCUCAUGCGGAUGGUCCUGAACGAGUCCUUGAAGGCCCUGAAGAUGCAGGGGUGGGAAGAAAGGCAGGCGGAACGGCUGCUGGAGCUGCUGACGACAGAGAUCCUGCACCCUGACAGCCAGGCCCCCAGCGGGGUCAAGAGCCACUUCCUUGAGAUCUUCCUGGAGGAGCUGAGCAAAGUGGGCGCCACGGAGCUGACGGCGGACCAGAACCUCAAGUUCAUCGAGCCCUUCUGCACGAUCGCCGCUCAGACUAAGGACUCCCUGGUCUUGCAUAACAUCACUCGGGGCGUCUUUGAAACGAUCGUGGAGCAGGCCCCGUUUGCCAUCGAGGACCUUAUGAAUGAGUUGGAGGCACCAGAGGAGGAGGAGGGGACGCCGGAGGACGAGCGGGAGGAGGACGUGCCGUCCAAGGAGCCACGGAGAGGCUCUCUCCACGGGGCCGCACCUGACACGAGCGAGGAGCCAGCAGGAGAUGGCGAGGACAGCAUGGGCCCCGUCCUCCAGUUUGACUAUGAGGCUGUGGCCAGCAGACUGUUCGCGGCGGCCAGUCAGCAGGACACCCCUUCCCAGAACAGGAAGCGCCUCUACAAAGUGAUCCGGAAGUUGCAGGACCUCGCUGAAGGGCUCUUCCCUGAGGAUGACGUUCCGGAGAAAGCCUGCAGGAACCUGCAGGAAGACAGGCGGGAGAGGAAGACGAAGAAGCGUCUGCCCAAAUCUGCGUUACAGAACAAGGCAGGGAAAGGCGGCGAGGAGGACUCGUGUCCAGACCUGAGCUCCGGAGCUGAGAGGAUGGCGAGGCGGCAGGGCUCGGGGGCUGAGCGCACCGGGCCCCAGGAGCAGCCCGGGGGCCCUGCUGGGAGAGGGGCUCGGAAGAGGCGGCGGCGGCGGCCUCGGGCGGGGGCCAGAGCGAAGGUGACCGAUUGCCAGGACCUGCGGAUGAGGAGGCGGCAGCCGCCACGGAGCGGGAAGUGACCCCGGCAGGCCCCGCACGUGCGGGGAGGCCCUUCCCUGCGGCCCCUCCGUCUCGUGCUGAGAUGGAAUCAUCCCGUGUGGGUCUUCUGCGUGCGGCUUUUUGGUGCGGAUUUUUCUGUGUGCAUCCGUGUUGUCCCACGUCGCCCGGGCCAGGACUCCAUUCCCUGUGUGGCCGAGUAACGUUCCACCGUGUGGAUGCCCAAGUGUCACCUGCUGUCCGAAAGCACAGUGUUCCUGUGAGACCUUUCUUCAGCCGAAACGGCAUAAAGCAAAACAGUUACCGUUAAUUUACGUGGAAAGUUUUUUGGGCGUUUCCAGACCCCAAAUCUCUUGUGAUUCUACUCCCCGGGACUUACUUUGCUAAUGGAGACCCAAAAUCAGUCGUGAUCGAGCCCAGGUGCUCACGGACACAGCUCAGAGCCCUGGCAGCUGGCGGCUGACGCGGGUCCUGGGAAGGAGGUUGGCGGGGCCGCGCCGGCUGCUGGGGUUCGCGCCGCCUCUGUUACAGCUCGCUGCGGAACCAGUGCUGGACGCUCUUCCCGCUUUUUGUCUUUUUUUCCCUACACGCAGAAGUCUUCAGAUUGAGUCUGAUUAGCAAGAACUGGUACUGACGUAGGUGUUUCAUAAAAGCGAAGCGGAGGAUGCCUCCACCGCAUUUCCGUUAACCGUUUGUGCGCGGGGCGCUUGUGACCGCUAGUGCCGCUGUAGACACGCACGAGCUUCUGCGGGGACCCGCUCUCGCUCCUCGGUGCGUACCCAAGGGACGGAAUUGCUGGGCCGGGCGGUAGGUGACUCCUUGACCUGCGUGAAGAUCCGCCAGGCUUCUCACAGUCGCCACACCUCCUGAUGUUCCCACCUCUGGACGGGGCGCAGCUUUAGGCGGGCGCUCCCUGGUGCCGCUUGACCUGUGAGCCUGUGGCGUGCCCUUGGCGCCACGGCGCCAUGGCUGAUCAGAGCGGACUGGCGGCCUUGAGGGUGCCUUGCGGCUGCAGAGAACCCACCUGGCCCCUGUGCGGGGGUGCGCUCCGGACCGUCUCACCCCUGCCCCUGCCUGGUCCCGCUUGGACCUGAGUGGCUCAGCCGUCCACCUGUGUGCUGUUGGGCAGGAGACAGUCACUCUGAGCCUUCACUGACCUAUCUGUGAAAUGGGGGUAACAUGGCCGGGCUGGGGAUUAUAUUGCUGUUUUUUCCAAGGCAGCCUGAAACUUACAGAGGAGUCACAAACGCGAUGAGCGUUUUUCACCCAAACCGCUUGAGAGUUGUGUGCUGACUUGAUGCGUAUCACCCGGAAUACUUUAGGUGCAUUUUCUGCAACCAGCGUUCUCUUAACCACAGCACCGUCAUCGAGUCAGAAUUAGCAUGGGCCCCUCUGUGCCAUCGAAGCCUCCGGUCUGUUCAGCGAUGCCCUCUGCAGCCACGAGACCCCAUCUGGAGUCACCCGCGUCUGGUUCUCGUUUCUCUUCAGCUUCCUCUGAACGAGACCAGGUCCUCCGCCCUUGUGUACCAUCCAGGACCUGGAUGUCGGUGGAUCUCAGGCUGGCGAUUCCGUACAUCGUCCCCACUGCGGGUGACUGGUGGUCCCUCGCGUCUAGACUCGGGUCACCCCUCUCGGCAGGAAUCGGAAACAGUGCUCGUUCUCCCCGUGUCCUGCCCGGGCCUCCGCUUUCCACCUGCCCUGGUGCGGAGGCACCUGCUUGUGAAUGUGGCCCCUUCCCUUGGUUGCUAACGGUGUGUGUGGCAAGGGCCUCCGCGGCCCCCAAACGGAGCUUCUCGCCAAACUUCAUUUACUCGCUGAUUGACGUACAUCGGUGGCUCCUGGUUUCCUGUUUAUCUUGUGGGUUGUAAUCUGUCCCUGCCACUUAUUCUAAUAGCAUGUCCCGUUUGGGCCAGUGGGAGACUUGAGGCUGGCUUCUGCUCCCCGUAAGGAGCCCCCACCACCCCUCACCUCUGUCACAGUAAGAGUCCUCAGCCCUGGGACUGGCCGCUUCUCCACGGAGCACUGACUCGAUUGACGGUACAGCCCUGCCCGGCUCGGGAGGAGCUGGUGUGGACGAGGGCCUACUGGAGUCCCUUCAUCUUGUGUUCUGCCACCGCGUCACUGAGACGUACCUCACGCGGCGUUCAGUUCUCCUGCUUAAAGUGUCCUGUCCGGGGGUUCUUCAGGUAUCCGCAGGGGCGUGCCUCCGUCACCACGGGCCAGCAUGGGACAUUUGUACCCAUCCCCCCAAAGAAACUCCAUAGUGGGGGGCCUCUUAACUUGGAGAAAGCCUGUGUGAGGCUUCUGGACCGGCAGGAGCCCCCGCCAAGAGGUGGUGAUGGGUUAUUGCUCACAAGGCUAAUAAAUGAAUUUACAGUUUUCUCGAA